GAAGGUAUAGCUCAAGUGGUAGAGAGCGUGCUUGACAUGCACAGGAACCUGGGUUCAAUCCCCAGUACCGCCU
Molecule: transfer RNA, 73 nt
Filed under: Camelus bactrianus (Bactrian camel)
Lineage: Eukaryota; Metazoa; Chordata; Mammalia; Artiodactyla; Camelidae
Also listed under: 2 other names
Rfam family: tRNA
About the family: Transfer RNA (tRNA) molecules are approximately 80 nucleotides in length.
Source: Rfam by way of RNAcentral